CUGCCGUCAAUUAAGCCAACAGGAACAGGGUUCUUCUGCUGGUGGGUACCCAGUGUGCGUGUAGUGGCUGCAAACAGCAAUCUCCUGGGUAGUGUAUGUAACCUGCUGCUUAUAUGGGCUGCUCUAAGGGACCUUAGAGACACUG
Small nucleolar RNA from Fukomys damarensis (Damara mole-rat), 145 nucleotides. Its record names the gene SNORA70. It matches the Rfam family "Small nucleolar RNA SNORA70". From Rfam's summary of the family: snoRNA U70 seems to be exclusive to mammals and is a member of the H/ACA class of snoRNA which contain H (ANANNA) and ACA box motifs. NCBI's taxonomy places the organism in Eukaryota, Metazoa, Chordata, Mammalia, Rodentia, Bathyergidae. The record is from Ensembl.